Molecule: small nuclear RNA, 107 nt
Filed under: Dasypus novemcinctus (nine-banded armadillo)
Lineage: Eukaryota; Metazoa; Chordata; Mammalia; Cingulata; Dasypodidae
Source: RNAcentral
GUGUUCAUGUCUGCAGCACACAUAUUAAAAUUGGAAUGAUACAGAGCAGAUUAGCAUGGUCCCUGAGCAAGGAUGAUAUACAAAUUCAUGAAGCAGUCCAUAUUUUU